CAUAGGUUUGGUCCCAGCCUUCCUGUUAACUCUCAACAGACUUACACAUGCAAGCAUCCACGCCCCGGUGAGUAACGCCCUCCAAAUCAAUAAGACUAAGAGGAGCAGUUGGUUCAAGCACACAUCUUGUAGCUUACAACGCCUCGCUUAACCACACCCCUACGGGAGACAGCAGUGACAAAAAUUAAGCCAUAAACGAAAGUUUGACUAAGCCAUGUUGACCAGGGUUGGUAAAUCUCGUGCCAGCCACCGCGGUCAUACGAUUAACCCAAGCUAACAGGAAUACGGCGUAAAACGUGUUAAAGCACUACAUCAAAUAGAGUUAAAUUCUAAUUAAACUGUAAAAAGCCAUAAUUACAACAAAAAUAGAUGACGAAAGUAACCCUACUGCAGCUGAUACACUAUAGCUAAGACCCAAACUGGGAUUAGAUACCCCACUAUGCUUAGCCCUAAACACAAAUAAUUACAGAAACAAAAUUAUUCGCCAGAGUACUACCGGCAACAGCCCGAAACUCAAAGGACUUGGCGGUGCUUUAUACCCUUCUAGAGGAGCCUGUUCUAUAAUCGAUAA
Molecule: ribosomal RNA, 571 nt
Filed under: Capra hircus (goat)
Lineage: Eukaryota; Metazoa; Chordata; Mammalia; Artiodactyla; Bovidae
Description: 12S ribosomal RNA
Rfam family: Bacterial small subunit ribosomal RNA
Source: RNAcentral